RNAcentral lists this long non-coding RNA (1346 nucleotides) under Marmota monax (woodchuck). Lineage: Eukaryota; Metazoa; Chordata; Mammalia; Rodentia; Sciuridae. The record is from RNAcentral.
UAGCUUCUGCAUAUGAGACCCUUGACUCUUCCGCAUACUGGACCCUUGACUUUCUGAAUCUGGCUUAUCUUAAUAAUGAUAACAUUUCCAUCUAUUUACUAGCAAAAGCCACAUUUUUUUCUUUUUUUAUGGCUAAGUAGAACUCCAUUGUGUGUGGGGGUGUGUGUGUAUGUAUGUGUUUGUGUAUGUAUGUGUAUAUAUAUAUAUAUAUAUCACAUUUUCUUUAUCCAUUCAUCUGUUGAUGAGCCCCUGGGCUGGCUCCAUAAGCUGGCUAUUGUGAAUUGUGCCUACAACCUUUCCUAUAAGUUAGUCAUUUAGUCAGAAAAUAUUUGAGUGCCUGUGCCUGUUGUGUGCCAGACCUUGCUUUAGGCUCUGGAGAUAAAGCAGUGAAAAAAAAACCUGUCACUUAUCUGAAGAUACUUGCAUGCUAGUGGGAAGACCCACCAAUAAAUAUGUAAACAAAAAAUGAAUGAUUUUAAGUGCUGACAGAUACACAGAAGGAGAUCUUUGUGAGAGGUGCCUCCUUAAGUGUCUCUUUAUCUCACAGAAAACUAAGUCAGACAUUUCAGAUAUGCUCUUCUGCCAUUACACUUGAGAACUCUUACGUUAUUUCUUGUUUAAUUGUUGAACUUUUAUCAUGGGCCAUCAUAGAUCUUCAUAUCUAGUUACACUAGUUGUUGCCUGGUAUAUGUAAUAUUAUUAAUCACUAUUUGUUAAAUAGAUGAAUGUUAUUUCCUUGGUAUGAAUUAGUUGAUAGACUUUUAUCUUAUUGCUUAAAUUUUUUUAAAAAAUAUGCAUAUAUAUUGAAAUAAAAAAAUUGGUAAAAAAUAAGACUCUGAAAUUUAUAACUGUUCAGAUAUUUGCGGAUAUACACACACACACACACACGUACAUACUACAUUUACCUUUUACACACUUAACAUUUAUACCAAAUCAACAAAUUCUUAUAGAUAGUGAAAUUCUAUAUAUUACUCAUUUCUUAGUUAUUCUGAGAAAUUAUUUUGUUUGGACAAUUGUGAAAUCAAAAGUAUGCUCUGAAAUUAAAAUACCACAAGAAAAGAAUAGACAUGACAUUGGGUCAUUUUAGCUUAGAAGCAAAACAGUGCAUGGAAUCUGCAUAAUCAUUUUGGGCAAAACUUUAUUAAUCUUUCUGUUUGCUUAAUAUAUUUGCCUUUGUAAAGUUUAUACUAUCAAUCUACUAUAUCAAGUGUGAAGUUCUUGCAAGAUUAGUAGAAUAGCAGGAGGCCUCUCUAGAGGAAAAUGGAAUUACCACACUCUCUUCCAUCUUCAGGUUCUACUGAAAAGAGUAUUUUGUUCAACUAUGCUCACCAUAAUGUCAAGCAAAC